AUUGAACGCUGGCGGCAUGCCUUACACAUGCAAGUCGAACGGUAACAGGCCGCAAGGUGCUGACGAGUGGCGAACGGGUGAGUAAUGCAUCGGAACGUGCCCAGUCGUGGGGGAUAACGCAGCGAAAGCUGCGCUAAUACCGCAUACGAUCUAUGGAUGAAAGCGGGGGACCGUAAGGCCUCGCGCGAUUGAAGCGGCCGAUGUCAGAUUAGGUAGUUGGUGGGGUAAAGGCUCACCAAGCCGACGAUCUGUAGCUGGUCUGAGAGGACGACCAGCCACACUGGGACUGGGACACGGCCCAGACUCCUACGGGAGGCAGCAGUGGGGAAUUUUGGACAAUGGGGGCAACCCUGAUCCAGCAAUGCCGCGUGCAGGAAGAAGGCCUUCGGGUUGUAAACUGCUUUUGUACGGAACGAAACGGCUCUGGUUAAUACCCGGGGCUAAUGACGGUACCGUAAGAAUAAGCACCGGCUAACUACGUGCCAGCAGCCGCCGUAA
Molecule: ribosomal RNA, 498 nt
Filed under: uncultured bacterium
Lineage: Bacteria
Description: partial 16S ribosomal RNA
Rfam family: Bacterial small subunit ribosomal RNA
Source: RNAcentral